AGAUUAAGCCAUGCAUGUCUAAGUAUAAGCAACUAUACGGUGAAACUGCGAAUGGCUCAUUAAAUCAGUUAUCGUUUAUUUGAUAGUACCUUACUACAUGGAUAACCGUGGUAAUUCUAGAGCUAAUACAUGCUAAAAACCUCGACUUCGGAAGGGGUGUAUUUAUUAGAUAAAAAACCAAUGCCCUUCGGGGCUCCUUGGUGAAUCAUAAUAACUUAACGAAUCGCAUGGCCUUGCGCCGGCGAUGGUUCAUUCAAAUUUCUGCCCUAUCAACUUUCGAUGGUAGGAUAGUGGCCUACCAUGGUAUCAACGGGUAACGGGGAAUUAGGGUUCGACUCCGGAGAGGGAGCCUGAGAAACGGCUACCACAUCCAAGGAAGGCAGCAGGCGCGCAAAUUACCCAAUCCCGACACGGGGAGGUAGUGACAAUAAAUACUGAUACAGGGCUCUUUUGGGUCUUGUAAUUGGAAUGAGUACAAUUUAAAUCCCUUAACGAGGAACAAUUGGAGGGCAAGUCUGGUGCCAGCAGCCGCGGUAAUUCCAGCUCCAAUAGCGUAUAUUAAAGUUGUUGCAGUUAAAAAGCUCGUAGUUGAACCUUGGGCCUGGCUGGCCGGUCCGCCUCACCGCGUGUACUGGUCCGGCCGGGCCUUUCCUUCUGGGGAACCUCAUGCCCUUCACUGGGCGUGUUGGGGAACCAGGACUUUUACUUUGAAAAAAUUAGAGUGUUCAAAGCAGGCCUUUGCUCGAAUACAUUAGCAUGGAAUAAUAGAAUAGGACGUGUGGUUCUAUUUUGUUGGUUUCUAGGACCGCCGUAAUGAUUAAUAGGGAUAGUCGGGGGCAUCAGUAUUCAAUCGUCAGAGGUGAAAUUCUUGGAUUGAUUGAAGACUAACUACUGCGAAAGCAUUUGCCAAGGAUGUUUUCAUUAAUCAGUGAACGAAAGUUAGGGGAUCGAAGACGAUCAGAUACCGUCGUAGUCUUAACCAUAAACUAUGCCGACUAGGGAUCGGACGGUGUUAGUAUUUUGACCCGUUCGGCACCUUACGAGAAAUCAAAGUUUUUGGGUUCUGG
RNAcentral lists this ribosomal RNA (1067 nucleotides) under Cladosporium sp. RNAcentral describes it as "SSU rRNA". It matches the Rfam family "Eukaryotic small subunit ribosomal RNA", at positions 41 to 1117 of the family's 1831-position model. Lineage: Eukaryota; Fungi; Ascomycota; Dothideomycetes; Cladosporiales; Cladosporiaceae. The record is from RNAcentral.